Molecule: ribosomal RNA, 559 nt
Filed under: Eocanthecona japanicola
Lineage: Eukaryota; Metazoa; Arthropoda; Insecta; Hemiptera; Pentatomidae
Description: partial large subunit ribosomal RNA
Rfam family: Bacterial large subunit ribosomal RNA
Source: RNAcentral
UGUUUUUUACAAAACAUGUCUUAAUGUUAAUUUUUAUUAAGUCUGGCCUGCUCAAUGAUUUCUUUAACAGGAUUAAAUAGCCGCAGUAUUUUGACUGUGCGAAGGUAGCAUAAUCAUUUGUCUUUUAAUUGGAGGCUUGUAUGAAUGGUUGGAUAAGAGAAUGACUUUCUUUACAUUAAAAGUUGAAUUUAAUAUUUUAGUUAAAAAGCUUAAAUUUUUAAAUGGGACGAGAAGACCCUAUAGAAUUUUACUUUGAGUUUUGUAAUUAUUGAUUUGGAUGAUCAAAUACUUACAUAUAGAGAAGUUUUGUUGGGGUGAUGAUGAGAUUAAUAUAACUCUCAUAUAUAAUUUUUUAUUAAUAGAUAUAUUAUAGAUCCUAUGUUAAGGAUAACUAGAUUAAAUUACCUUAGGGAUAACAGCGUAAUUUUUUUGGUGAGUUCAUAUCAAUAAAAAAGUUUGCGACCUCGAUGUUGGAUUAAAAUUAGAUUUAAGUGCAGAAGCUUAAGGUUCUAGGUCUGUUCGACCUUUAAAUUUUUACAUGACGGGUUUUUUAACCCGG